RNAcentral lists this long non-coding RNA (25923 nucleotides) under Oryza sativa (Asian cultivated rice). RNAcentral describes it as "long non-coding RNA (OSAT_LNC000264)". The stretch from base 6893 to 7098 matches the Rfam family "MIR812 microRNA precursor family". Lineage: Eukaryota; Viridiplantae; Streptophyta; Magnoliopsida; Poales; Poaceae. The record is from RNAcentral.
AAAAUUAAAAGUGGCAGUCUUACACGAUCUGAUCAUUACUUGCCCCAAACUCAAGGCAAAAGUUUACAAGGUAGUAGUACAUGAUUGAUGAUACAUAAGUUUUGCUCCAUAAAAAAAGGACCGAUUAGAACGCAUGUGAUUUUCACGAGGAAAACCACUUGAUUCGUAUGUACAGAAAAACGGUGGAAACCCCUGUAGACUGACCCGGCAAACAAGCAUCAUCAGUGCAUGGAUACUGGACCAAAAACACCAUAAGAAAUUAAAGAGAACGGAGCAAGCGAGCAAUCAGCCAGCUAGUACUAGUACAUAUAUAUUGUACAGCCGUGAUCUGGUCGGAGAUGAGACGAUGACCCGCCGGCGGCGGCCGGCCGGCGCGGCGGAGGCCCAUCGAUCGAUCACUUGGGCCCCCAAAGCAGCAGGUGCAUCACCUUGUCCGCCUUGCCGCCGCCGUCCGCCGCGCGCCGCCCCGCCGUUGCCGCCGGCGUGGCCGCGGCCGCGGCCGCGCGGGGUACCCGCAGCUGCUGGCCGGCGUCGCGCGCCAGCGCACGCAGCGUCGCCGGGAGCUCCCACCUGCUCUCGCGCCCGCUGCUCAUGGCGAAUCAACCACCGCUUUCUCCUUGGCCCUUCUUGCUAUGCUAUCUAGCUCGUGCUGCUCAUCCUCAGUCCGGUCUCUUCUCUCUCCCAGCCACCUCACCUAGCCUCUUAUACUGCCACUGCACUACUCCUGGUCAUGAGUCACACACAAUUUUACAUUUUAGCCUUUUAUGAACAUUUAUUUUAUAAAUAGAUCUUUAAAAAAAACUUAAUCUUUCCAUCCAGAAAUAUAAUAUGGUACUGAAUAUGACACAUUCCAGCAUCAUGACGAGUUUGGACAGAUAUCUUACAACUAAAAUAUAUCCAAUACUACCUUCAUUCUAAAAUGUAGCUAUUUCUAGCACAGUACUUUGUCCCAAAAUGAAGCUAUUUUUCUACCUACCUUCCCCUCUCAACCAAUCACAACCAUUCUUUUUCACCUACUUUCUCUUUUCAACCAAUCACACACCUUCUUCAAUUAUUCUCACAUACUUUCUUAAUACCCGUGCUAACCUCAAAAAUACUUACAUUUUGGGACGGAGGAAGUAUGAUACAAGAUUGCUAUAUCAUGUAACAGAUGAAAUAUUCUGUCACCGAGCUACAGGUUUGAAUAUAACAAUCUAAAGAUGAGAUACUAGUACUAUAUAGUUAGAAUAGACUCCUUUCCGCUCUCUCGGAGAGACUCAUAGCUCUAGUUCUACAUUUUUAUAAUAUGUAACGAAGAGAUUAAGUCCUUGGUUAGUUUGGGAAAAAUUUUAGAUUUGGUUGGUAUAUUGGAUAUACGGACACAUAUUUAAAGUAUGAAACAUAGUUUAAUAAUAAAACAAAUUACAGAUUUCGUCAGAAAACUGCGAGAUGAAUUCUUUAAGUCUAAUUAAUUCAUCAUUAGCAAAUAUUUACUGUAGCACCACAUUGUCAAAUCAUGGCGCAAUUAGGUUUAAAAGAUUCGUCUCGUAAUUUACACGUAAACUGUGUAAUUGGUUAGUUUUUAUCCACAUUUAAUAAUUCAUGCAUAUAUCUAAAUAUUCAAUGUGAUGGGUGAAAUUUUUUGUUUUGAGAGCUAAAAAGGGCCUAAGUUUUUUAAGGAUUUAUUUAUAAAAUAUGUUUUCAGAAAAUGGCUAGUGUGAAAAGCCCAGUCCUGAGUCACCUCCUGCAAACUGCAAUCAACAGGGGCAAUAAUAGUCAGCAAUAAAUAUCAGCCACCAUGAUUGAUGAACCCCUCCAAAAUCGAGUGGCCGAGAGAUACCCAAAGACGGGAUUUUUAUCCCGCACCCAACGCCUCGGCGCGGGAUCACCACGCGCUUGGCGAUCAGUGCGUACAGCGAUCGCGAUCGCCGGUGCGCGCGGGGGUGUAUAAUUUUCCACGGCGGCGAGGGGAGGGGAGGGGAGGUCGUGGAUGCGGCGAGGCGGGCGGUCGGUGUCGGGAAAGGGGCGUGGAGUAAUGCGCGUGUUUGAAAAACGGGGUCUCUCGACCAAUCCGGAAUGAACCAGUGGUUGGAUUUGGGCUCGUUCUUCCGGUAAAGGGCAUGUUAAGAGAAGUUUUUAACCAGCUGCAGGUUCUCUCGGAUUCUUUAGCUAUCCCAAAUAGUCCGCAUUAUUAUUUGGAUUCAGAUUCUGGUAAUAUAUAAUUGUAAAAUCUAAAAAAAUAAAAUAGAAACUGUAUUAAGCUGAAAAACCAAGUUUCUUCAGGUUAUAAGAAGCUGACUAUCAAACUAAGCUGGCUAUCAAACAGUAGAUUUAAGCUCCCUGAACAGGGUUUUUGUUGUGGUAGGGUUUUUGUUCCAUUGUUUGUUAUAUGUCACAUAAAUAGUUAGAAAAAUAACAAGUUAGAUUCAUACAAGAUAUAUCCGUUUAAAUUCAACUUCUAUAAGUUAUAAUAAAAAAACACAAAUAUAAUUGUGAAUUUACGUUAACUCGUUUGAAUUUAAUAUGUUCUUUUAGUUAUAACUUGAAGAAGUGAAAUUUAAAAUUGCAUUUUGUGAGACGAUAUAUCCCAUAUUAAUUUAUUUUAUAAUUUUUUUCUUAAAUUUUUCAGUGUCCAUUUUGAUGAGAUACAAUAAACAAGCAGAUGUUUGGAGUAGGGGUGGACAUUCGGUCUGACCGAAAAUUUCGGUCUCGGUCUUUGGUCUUUAAAAAGUAAAGAUCAAAUUUCAAUGCAAAAAUAUCAGGACCGACAAAUUCAGUCUCGGUCUCGGUCCUGACCCAAAUUCAACAACACUUUCAUAUACGCAAAGAAGCAAUGGAAAUUUUCAAUACAAAAAUCACAGAAAAAAUGUAAGCACUUAUGAGUAAAUACUCUUAUUAGGUUGUAUGCCUAGAAGAAGUAGGAUGCGAAAAAUAGAGUUUAAUCCUAUUGAACAUAGUGAUUGUAUGUUACAUUUAUACUUUUUUUUUUGUUAAUUCAGUCUUUUUGGUCUAUUCGGUGAGACUAACCGAAUUGACCAAAUAAAAUUCGGUUUUUCACUUUCUAGGAUUGAAUUUUUCGGUCUCGGUCUUUUUGGUUCGGUCUUUUUCUGACCACCGCUACUUGGAGGAUGAAAAUCCAUCUCCCGACACAAGUCCCAGCCAGGACGCACUAAGCACUGGAAACAGCUGUGGGAGCUGGAGUACCUUGUAGUCUCGUCCUUUGCUCUAUGCCUGCGGUGACAAUGUGAGGCUAUGAGCAGUAAGCUGGUGUAAAUAAUUGAGUUAGACAAGUCAAUAGAAAUUAGUAGAAUUAAGUAGUAGGAGUAAUGGUAUGUAUGCUUCCGGUCAUAAGGAUUUAACUUGUAAGAUAAAGGCUAAUCAAACUUUUCGUAAGAUCUUGACCAUUAGUAUUGCCGUAAACCUACUAUACUUACAAACUUUUUAAAACAUAUAAUUGUUGUUUAUAGUGUUUGACAAAAUGUCAUCCUAAACGUCAAAGCAACAACUUGUUUAUUUGGUUGACAAAACAGUCUAAAUGCCCUUCAAAACUUUGACCGAGGGUGCAUGUAGCCUCUUUUCUGGAUAAAUUAACAGGAUCUGCUUAUAUGUAGGAGAGUUCACUGGCCUGUUAGAGCCAAUGUGCUUGAGAUUGUUGAUGUGCUCCGUAUUGAAGAAGUGGUUUCGGAUGGUCCAAAAUGUAACAAAGAAAAACUUAUCUAAUCCAAAUUAAAAAGACUGAGUAAAUAAUAGUUCAAAAUAAAAUUUUAAAAAUAAAAGAUGAUCCAAAGUGUAAUUCGCUAAAAAGAAGAAGAAAUCAAGAGGAGAAGAAGAAAAGUACGUAUAAGAACCGCCAAACCUGGAUGCAUAUCACUACCAUUCAGGUAAUACCGCCUUCCUAACCUAUAUGUGUGUAAGUACGUACGUGCGUAAAAGAAAAGUAGAGAAACGCUCAAGGGUUUUCCGACUAGUUUCACAAGGUGGUGGACUAGACGACCUAGAUUCGAAGCCUUACCCAUUCUAAUUAUUUGACAUUAUGUCCUUCCCUAAUAUUCGACCUGAGUUCAAAGCCUCACAUCUUCUAAUUAUUUGAUAUUAUUAGGUCCUUCUAUAAUAUUCGACCUGGGUUCAAAGCCUCGCUCAUUCUAACUAUUUAAUAUUAGGUUCUUCCGUAAUAUUCGUGAUUUUUAAAAAGAAUAGUACGUUUUGAAGAAGAAGAAGAAGAGAGUAGUACUUAGGAACCACCAACGAUCCCCUCCUAUUCGUCCCUAGACUUCUCUCCUCUUUUUUCUCUCUAUUUAUUUUUAAAAAGUCUCCUCUCCUUUUUAUGGUGUAGUUGGCUCAGCAAUAACCAUAGCUGCUAAACUACAAAUUUAAUUUCUAAUUUAUUUCAAUAAUUGUAUUUCUCAUGAUUAAAUCAAUAAUUUAAGAUUAUGAAAAACAGAAAAUGAACCAACACUAUAGCUGUGUGUACAUCAUCCAAUUAGUCUAAAAAAUUCAAGAUAACUUUGCCAGAGUAGACGGCUAAAUUACCACAAUUCAGGACACAUGUAUGUUUUGAAAAAAAAUAGCUUGUAGAUCUAAUAAUUAGAGAAAUUUUAUAACUUCUAAGGGAAAAAAACAAAUAUUAACCAUUGGUUUUCACUUAAACCGGUGGACCUAUAGUUACCACUAGAUUAUGUAUCUAGGAAACAACCGGCUAAUCCCACCUUCUUAAUCCCAAUCCUGUACGUAAGUACAUAUUUAUGCGUGUAAAAGAAAAGUACAUACUUACGAAGUACUGCCAAACCCCAUUCCCGUGCAAUUCGUUCCGUUUGACUCCCCUGCUUUCUAUACGGCAUAGUUGGCUAGUCGGCUAUUUUCUCGAGUAAGUAUCUUCUUGAGUAGGUAAGAAAUAGCCAACUUUGCCAUAUAGAUAGGAAGGGAGUCAAAGCGAGCGAAUUAUUUGCAUUGGCACGGACUAUGGAUAAAGGCGUCGCGGGGUACACAAGGACGACGACGAACAAAAACGGAUUGUGACGAUCGGAAAAAAUGUGUAUCAUUCAAUUUUAAGAUGAAUUCCAAACUAAAAUUGGUAACUUGCUAAAGAUUCGAUGUAAAUUAUAUAAUACAAGAAAAUAAUAUUAUAUGACUUAACUAGGCUAGAAAAAAACUUAGUACUCUAUACAACAUAAUUUUAUCGUGGUAUUAACAUAUUCGUUAUAGUCAUCCAUGUGAGCGGUUUAAUAUAUACAACUAAAAUUGCCUUUCCCCAUUGCAACACACAAACUUUUUUCCUAGUCUUUUUUUUAUUAAUUUAGUAAAAUUUAUCUGAAAAAUGACUGCAUAUUAGUGUUUUGUAUAUAUAUUAGUGAUUUUAAAUGUUGAGGUUUGAUUUAUGGUACGUCUCAGAUAUACACAAUAUCGUAUUAAAGAGAGGGAUACGUGUGAGAUUACAUAGCUAUAAAUACGAUUUGGACCGUUCACCUACAAACUACUAUACUUCCACUAUUUGAUUGCAUGGCUCGGGAUAAUAAGGUUGAAGGACAACAAAUUGGCCUGUGAAACAACAGUUAAUUUGAGUUAAUUAAUCUUAGUAUUUUUAUUUUUAAAACGAAAUUAAUCUAGAUUUUUUAACCUAUAACAUGGCUAGCUAGUGACCAGCGACAAGCUUGAACGGAGUAUACAACCGCUUAGAGCAGGUACAAUGCUAUAAGCCACCUAUAAACACAUAUCGAGAAGAUAAAUGAUGAUAGAGAAGAUUUUUAUCAGUGAAAUAGUGAAUGACGCUAUGAUUAUACAUGUUAAAAAAAUAUGAAUUAUCAACUUCAAAUUAAAAAAAAAGAGCAUUGCCGAAACAUAAUUAGGAUGUGAGUCAAGGAUGAAAAUGAGUUGGAUUCGGACAACUAAUUGAUGUAUCAUAUUCUAUUCCACAGUAUCUUCAUGGAGAUUUAGACAAGGCACAGAUAAUAGAAGGUGUGAAUGUCCGAAACAUUAGUUUUUUAUAUAUAAGUUUUUUGAAAAACAAAUUAUCUAAUUUCAAGUUUAUAAUAAUUAAUAAUUAAUUAAUGAUACGCUAAUAAUUUGUCUCGUUUCAAGUGUUGGCUAAGAUCAAACCGAUGUCCCGAACGCAGCUUUUAGAUUCUGAACUCACGAGAGUCUUUAGGUUAAAAGUCAUGCUGUGGAGCUAUAGCCUAAACAAUAUCGCUAAAUAUCUUUUUUUUAAAAAAUAAUAUAUCCUACAAAUUCUCAAUCACCAAGUAUCCUACAAAAAAUCAAAAUGGUUCUACACUGAAACUGCAUUUUUCUACGUACCCUCACAUAACUGUGGUAAAAACAAAUUGAGAACAUAAAAUACCACACAAUCUACAUUCACACCAUAUGCCCUGAUACUUUUUGAACUUUGUUUUGGAAGCACUCUACUACUCGUCUACUGCAAAAGAUAAAGAAAGAAAAACAAAUAUAGCCUAGCCACAUAUGCUGAACUCAACUCACGUUAAAAACUAAAACAUUUGUCUUUUUCGUUUACCUAGAUUAUGUUUAAAUAUAAUUCUUGGUGGAAUAGUACAUGAUAGUAUAUUUACGUAAAACUCUAUUAUAAUUUUUCACGAUUAUCUUUACUACUUUAACCUCUCCUAUUAUCCAUAAAAAAAGAACCGGCACACUCAAAGGAGUGAAAAAUAUUAUUCUACAUCUUAUUGUAACGUAAGGAUAUGGUAUUAGUUUACAUUAGACCUUAUUCGUUCAAUCAAAAAAAAAUACCGAGGAUGAAAUUUUCACAUCAUAUAUGUGAAAUAAAUUCUACUUUCUUCAUUCUAAAAUGUUGCAAUAUAGAACGUGAUUUAAUGAUAAUAAAUCUGAAACAGGUUACUUCCUCCAUUCUAAAAUAUAAUAACUUUAAAAAACGGAACACAUUAUAAUACUCCAUCCGUCCCAAAAUAAGUGCAGCUAUGGUUUUCCGCGUCCAAUUUUGAUCGUUCGUCUUAUUUGAAAAAAUUUUGAAAAAAAAUUAAAAACAUAAGUCACGAGCAAAGUACUAUUCAUGUUUUAUCAUCUCAUAGCAAUAAAAAUGCUAAUUAUAAAAAAAAUUUAAAUAAGACGGAUGAUCAAAGUUAAGAGUGAAAACUCAUGACUGCACUUAUUUUGGGACGGAGGUAGUACUAGAGGUCACCCCGCGCGUUGCUGGGGAAAUUUAAGCAAUUACAAAUGUCAAAAUUUUGGAUGAAAUAUAAUCACCUUAAAAGGAAAAACCUAACCCAAUUUAUCACUGCGCGUGAGGAAUAUUUGUACAAAUAAAAAUAAUCUUCAACCGUACCAAGUUCAUAGCCUGCAAAUAAUAUUUUUCAAACGUAUGGCUUCGAUAUUGGUACCAUUAAUUGGAGGGAAACUCAACUGGCACUCCCUUCCACUCAUAUUAUACAAAACAAAUUAAGGGAAUAAGUAACAACAAAUUGCUAAAAGAAAUGUUGAUCCGCUGGAGCAUGAGCAUAUAUAUAGCGGCAAAAUAAACGCAGCAGCAUGGCUAACGGAAUGAAGGAUUGAUCGCAACGAUCAAGUAUAGCAACUGGACUCUGGACAGGAGGGCUUGUGGUCAGCAUGUCAAUCCACUGCGAUGGUGUUUUCAGAGGAAUCAGGAAUAAAGGCCGAGUAUUCACCUAAUUCAUUUAGCUAGAGGAUGGAAUAUAUGCAGUGCAAGUGCAGUGGAAGAUGGAAGGCCUGCUGCGUGAGCCAAUGAAUGAAUAUCCAACGUUUUGGUUUCAAUCAGGAGAUGACCCGUCAGGAACAAACGGUUUAACUGUUGAAUAGGCCCCUUUGUUAAUUACUGUCGUGCAUGAUGAUCGGAAUUAAAAAAAAAACGAAGAGGUGCAUCCCACUAUCGCUCUUUACACCCUCAUUUGCAAUCUAGCGGCUAGGUGGAAUCUAUCUGCAAUCCAACGGUCAGGUGGAAUAGAGGUGAUGUGGAUCACUCCUGGAGAAGGAAAUUAGUUUUAAUUGUAGUUAGUGGGAUGACCUAUAUAGAUAUAUAUAUAUAUAGGAUACUGUUCUUAUUCGCAAUAUUAAAAUAUAUUUCAAUUAUUUAAAAAUUGUUUAUAUUUCUGGACAGACGAAAACAAACAAUAAUCCCCGUGUCCUCGCAGUGAGGCUCGCACCGCCCAGCAUCCUUGGAAACAGAGUGAGCGUCCAAAACCGGCGGCGACGCGCUCCCCGUUUCGCCGCUUUCCGCUCAUCUCGCGUAUAAAAACAUGGCGUCUCCCCUGACCACCACGCCUCCACCACCUCCGCAUCACUAGCAAGCGCAAGCGCCGCGCACUGUGACCGAGCGGAGGCGGAGGCGGAGUAGCCGGGUCGGGAACUCGGGAUGGCGAUCUGCGGGGCGAAGGCGGCGGCGCCGUCGCUGGUGGUGGCGGCGAGCAUGGGCGCCGUCGAGGCGCUCAAGGACCAGGCGGGCCUCUGCCGCUGGGACUACGCCCUCCGCUCCCUCUACCUCCGCGCCGCCGCCUCCUCGCCCAGGCUGCGUUCCCCCCUCUCCAACACCGCCGCCGCCGCCGCGCGGCCGCCGGCGGAGGAGGCCGCCGACGUGAGGCUGCGCAAGGUCCACCACCUCGUCUGCUGGGGCCCCAACUGAUUUAUAUUAUAUAUACUCAUCUCACAUCUUCCUGAAGAACAUAUGCCACUCGUCUCGUCGUCUUCCUCUGAUCUCUGUGCAGUGUAGUGCUCUUCUCUUCUCUUUUAGCUGUGUUGCAUCUCGAUCGAUCGCUUGCUUGAUUGCUCCAUCCUCCGUCUCUGUGAUCUGCAUGUUCAGUUUCGUGCAGAUUCGACCCGUUUGUGAAAAUGUUCUGCCGCUUACAUGUAUCUUCAUCCUUAUGCAUGGAGAUCUAGCUAGCCUCCUAUUCCCUCUGUUCCGAAAAUAAAAUCAACUUCGUACGAGAGUAGACUGGAGUCCUUGUAGCCCUCCAUUUUCUCAUUUACUAAUUUUGGAAAAAAAAAUCAGUACCAUCUUGAGAUCUUGAGACUGGACUUAAAAAACCAAAUUAAAGAGAAAGAGAAUAUGUUAGUUAAUUGCAUGGAUAUAUACAUGCUUGUAUUAUAAGACAUCUGAAAAAAUAGUUACGUCUUAUGUUUAUGUUUUGAGAUGAAAGGAGUACUAAUCAAGUCAAGAGCGCCUUAAUUUCAGUUUUGUCAUGUCUAAUUACCAAAUCGAGAUGACAGUAUUUGAAGACAAGAAGGGAUGUGAUAAAGCUACAAACCUGGGACAAGAACGCAUCUUGUGAGAGUGAAGAGAGCUAACUUACCAAAUGCAUCCCUGCAUCCAUCCCCUGGUUCUCAUAUGAACUUUGUCGAAUCUACAAUGAGAAUUGAAAACUAAUAGUACUAUAAGAUUUAUGGAUAUGGAUAUGGAUUGUGUGUGCAUCUGAUGAACUAGCACAAACUAAUUAAUUUCCCCUCAGAGAGAGCAAAGGCGUGAUUGGGUGCAGUGCUGGUGAACCUUUGAGCCAGUUUCAGACUUUCUUGCUAAUUAAUUUAGCCGGCCGGCAGGUUCAUCAACGCUGCACUCAAUAAUGCCUUCCCUUCUCUUCCAUCACCCAUCGAUCUCAUCAUGAAUCUGCCAAUAUUCCUAGCUCUAAAUCUCUAAUCCCAGGAACAGGAUGCAUCACUUGGCUAGGCAGCUUCCAUGCUUGUGCGUGUGUAGCUGCAUCUGCACUGCAUUUGUGUGUGUGUGUGUUGCUUUUCAGACAGGUCACCUCCUCCUUUUGUACUACUGCAUCUGCACCGUGCCUAACGGUGUUGCUUGUACUACCAUGGGAUGCAGCAGCAUCCUCGGAUUGUACUAAUUUCUAUGUGUUGUACUUUGUCACGUCCUGAUCGAUCAGGUAGUACGUACUACUAAUUCAGAGUUCAGACUUUAGAUGAGCUCUCUAAAAUUCCACAUACAUGUAAUACUUGACAGAAAAAUGGGAUUUUUCUUAUGAGUGCAGCAUUUUUCAGAACAAAAGAAUCAUGCAUACGCUUCUCUCCAAUAAUUCAGAGUUGUGGAGAUGAUUUGACCAAUACAACGAUGAAGUUUUAGGCAGGCAGUACAGCAUGACCGUGACCGUCCUGAACCUGGGCGGACACGGCAAGUACAGACUAUAGAGCAGUACAACUACAAACUGUACUGCAUUACAAUUUGCAAGUUCAGAAUAUGAGUGCCUGUCCUUUUCUGAUUAAAGAUGAUUUUAUCUCGGUUUCUGUUAGCAAGCUUUUUAAACUACUAAACAAUGUAUUUUGUACGAUAACUUUCCAUAUAUACGUUGUUUUAAAAUAUCAAAUAUAUUCAUCUGUCAAAUUUGUAGUAAUUGGAACUUAACUAAUCAUGCUUCCGUUUUACAUGCGCUAACUAAUCUUUAUCAAUAAUCUCUUUGAUAGUGCUAGUAGCCUAGUACUAAUACUUUGUCAAGCAGUGUCGCAAACGAACACGUAAAACUAUGAAUACGAUAGUAGGAGUACAGAAUAAUGUGGUACUCGCUGCAUUGAAGUUUCGGGUUUGUAUAGGCUAAACUUCUUCAAAUUUGACCACGAUCACAAAAUAUAUAGUCUCUUCUAGAAGACGUUUUGACUUUGGUCAAAGUCAAACCACUUUAACUUUGAUCAAGUUUGUAGAGAAAAGUAGUACUAAUAUUUUCAACCCAAGACAAAUUUAUUAUGAAAAAUAUAUUCAAUUAUUGAUUUGAUGAAACUAAUUUAGUAUUAUAAAUAUUAUUAUAUUUAUAUAUAAACUUAGUUAAAUUUGAAAUAGUUUGACUUUGACCAAAGUCAAAACGUUUUAUAACCUGAAACGGAGGGAGUACUAUAUAGCAGCAUCUAACCACACCGAAUUAGUUUCAUCAAAUCCACAAUUGAAUACAUUUUUAUUGUGUAUUUGUUUUGUGUUGAAAAUGCUGCUAUAUCUUUCUAUAAAGUUAUCAAACUAAAAAGUAGUUCGACUCCAAAUUUCAAAUUCUAUAUAGAAGUUUAAUAAAAGGAAAUAAAUCUAUUUUUCAAAUUUAUAAUAGUUAAUAUUUAAUUAAUCAUGUGCCAGUGAGAUUAUUUUGCUUCGCGUGUAGUACAAAUCUUCCUCAUCCAGGAGGAAUUAGCUCCAAAGACCUUCUUUUCUUUUCUUCCCACAGAAAAGUUAGCUCUACAGAUUUCAGAACUGCGGAUUUGCAGUAUACCUCAGUCUUGGGUCCAGUACACAGAAAUGAUAAAUAACUACAACUCCAAAUUUGAAUGUGCAAACAUCUCGCUAUUGCCACCAGGGCAUGGAAGAUGCAGAAUUGGUGAGCUUGUACUUAUCUGUUGAGAAUUUACACGAAUUUCCUUUCAACAAAUAAAAACAGCCGUAUGCUAAAGUAGGCUUCUGAACAAUAUACUAGUUUUAAAGUUUCAGAUUAUCUGUAUACUAUGGUCCAAAUACAAAUCGUGCCCAUUGUAAUCAGGAUGUUUCAAGUACUUACAAAUAGUCCCAAUAUCAGAACGAAUCCAGAAGGGGAAAAGAAAAUUCUCAAACGUUAUUAUUGACAAUUGAUAUCUCUGGCAUGGAAGUGUCAGCAGCACCCAGCACAGCCAAAGAAAGUAACUAAAACUAAAAAGGCUGCUAGUUCAUCUAAAAAAAAGACUGCGAGUUGCCCUCAAAAAGGGGGAAAAAGGACUGUUAGUUGAAAGGUAAGUUAUAGAUGGCCAGAAGCUAAUGGUGCAUCAUUUGAACACCUCACAUAGCAAAGAAAUUCCUUUUGAUGCACCAGAAGAUGAUCCUGUUUCACUGUUUGGCACAUAUAUGAACAUACACUGUCACUUAGAUCCUAAAAUUAUGCAUGAAUGAUAAACAUGAAGAAUUAGACUAUGAUGCUGAAUCCUAGUGAGAUUUGGUACCCAGAAUUUGCCCAGAUAUUUGUUUGUAUGUGAAGAGGUCUUGAUGACAAAAGGUUAAUCACAUUACAAUAAUUAUCUACUUCCUAGGCCGCCUUCGCCAUCAACAAUCUACAAAUAUGGUAUCGGUUGCAUGCAAAAAUUUACAUUUGGACUGGCCAACAUCGUUGGUUACACUGAAACAAACUCCUGUAGUGCACAGUUGCUUGACUCAUAUAUACAUGUUCCAAAAUUGACUCAUAUAUACUUUGUAUCCUUAGUAAAAAUGGAAUAUACAAUUAUCAGAAGAAAUACUGAAAUGUAAAGAAGCUAGGGAACAAAAAAAUUAAGCCAAAUGGUACGAAAUGGAGAAACUAGAACAGGGUAAACCUGAACAACGAUCCAAUGUAUGUGAACAAGUUGUGACUCUGGCCUCUGAUGGAACAAGCUCUGCAGCUGAAGUUGUAUUGUAAACCUGGUCGUGGUAUUUGCAACUGGUCACAUGUUUUACAGGCGGCAACUGCGUUGGCAGCCUGUCCUGGCUUUUGUCGGCAAUGUAGCGGAUUAAUUAGCCCUGUGGCUGCUGUGAUGGUAAACGUGACGGCUGCUGCUCUCCUUGCAUUCCUUGCAUAGAUUGCUCAGGUUGCUGGUGCUGACCUCCUUGCCAUGCCCAAACUAUAUCCUUAAGUGCAGGCCUUAUAUCUUCCUUCAUGAGCUUUUGAUAUUCUAUAGUGUCCCCAUUGGACUUUUUAAAUUCAACUAAAUGGAAAGAUGGAGCAAGCUCAAAAACCUCAGCAUCAAGCUCAAGUAAUCCUUUUAUUCCUUCCUUUGGUGCUACCAACCUCAGAACCCCAUUUUCUUUUUUCUUAAUUUUGAGCUUGAAGCGUCUGGCCAAUUCAUUUAGCUUAGCAAAUAUAGCUGCCGCCGGUUGCCUAGUGGUAAAUCUCUCUUCCCUCCGGCCAUAUCUUUCUUCAAACAAAUUGGAUAAGUCAAACCCGGUAGACAGAGAAAUGAUGUCAAACGCGUUCAAGUUCGGGAGGCUUAAUGAAGCUUGCUUUCCAUCGGAAUUACUACAUUCUGGUGAGUCAGAGGUUGUGGCUUCACCAUUAGUGUACACUUUGUCUCUUGAUGACGCACGAUUUCCCUCAAAAAUACUGCAUUCUGUUGUGUCAGAGGUUGUGGCUUCACCCUUAUACACCUUGUCUCCUGUUUCAUGUUUGCUCUUCAGUGCAUUUACAUCACUGGAUUUUCUGUACCAAGCGCUUCUCUUUAUCUUCGGGAUAGAAAUUCUAGUACUUGGAUCUGGAUCAAGUAUCUUAUAUAGCAGAUCCUUCAACUCAGCAGAAAAGGAACGAGGGCAUUUGUAUUCAGCUUUGGCAAUCUUUCUAUACAUCUCUAUAAGAUUUGUGUCAUGGAAAGGAAGGUAGCCAGAUACAAGCACAAACAGAAUUACUCCACAAGACCAUAUAUCAGCCUUCGCACCGUCGUAGCCUCUCCUACUAAGAACUUCAGGAGCAACAUAAGCUGGAGUUCCACAGGUGGUAUGAAGGAGGCCAUCAUGUCUCUUGGACUCAGAAAGGGCACUUAAACCAAAAUCCGAGACUUUUAAGCUCUCAUUCUCAUCUAGAAGUAGGUUUUCUGGCUUCAAAUCACGGUGAUAAACACCCCGGCUGUGGCAGUAGUCUAUACCACUGAUCAACUGAUGGAAAUACCGCCUCGCAACAUCUUCACUGAACUUUCCCUUGGAUAUUUUCUUGAAAAGUUCACCGCCUUUAGCAUACUCCAAAACAAAGUAAAUUUUGCUCUUGCUUGCCAUCACCUCAAAAAGCUGAAGAAUGUUUGGAUGCUUUACUAAUCUCAUUAUUGAAAUCUCCCUCUUUAUCUGCACCAUUAGCCCAACCCUUGUUACCUUCUCCUUAUCAAUCAUCUUUAUUGCAACGGCCUGUCCGCUUGUGAGAUUCCGAGCAUAAUAUACCUUGGCAAAAUUUCCCUGUCCUAACUGCCUACCUAUUUCAUAGCGAUCCAUCAAAAUUGUCCUCCUGUCAUCCAUUGUAGCAAUCUAUUUCAAGAAAAUCCUCUAGGCACUACUUAUAGAACAAUAUAUUUCAAAAGGGAGGGCUUAUAAAUGACUAAAUGAACACUAUCACCACCAAGGUCGUGUCCAUCAAAGAUAUAAUGCCACGAUCUUCAGUGGUUCAGAGACCAGGGUACAGAAAAAAUCAUUAUAACAGCAUGCAGGCACUGCUCUUAUUUGAACUCAACCGGACAGUUGGUGCAAAGCUUUCCGGUGCACUAGCACACAAUUCGGCCUUUUCAAGGACAAAUAUCUUCUAGUGUCACCUGUUGAAAACAAAACGGAGAACGAACAAACUGAAUCAGGGCAAACAUAUAAUGUGAAUGUAGAUCCAAUCAUCCAAAGGUAAAUCAAAUUGAAAACAAUAAUUCACUGUAAAUGCGCAUUCACAUUCCCUUUUUUUUAUACGCAAGGAGCGCAUCUUUGUAUUAAAGAGUAAAAUUAUUUAUAGGCACAUUCCCAAAGUUAGGAUAGCAUUACGAAUUUAGUAAAAAAAUUGCAGGAUUCCCCAUUUCACUAUGAUUUUGAAUACCCACCAAGCAUUCCUUGUAAGAAACCUAAAAUCACACCAAACAAAACAUACUCCAAAACGACAAAAUGACAAGUACUACAAACUAAGCAGUGAUUCAUCCUAAAAAGGUAGAUCACACGACGAUUGAUCUAGUGUUCUAGGACUUCAGGCUACUCCGAUAAAGGAAUCAACAAAUAAAAACCUGCAGAAUCCAUUCAUUCAUCAAUCCCCGGUAGCAGAGCAAUCCAUCAUACUAGGGCGAACACCCAGCUCCCCAAACCCUACCUCACCGGGACACAGAGCUACAAAUCCAGCCAUAAACCAAUCAAACUAACAAGCAAUUUACCCUUCUCAGGCCUUAGCCGCAGAGAUCACAACCACAAAUAACCUAACCAAACCAAGAAACCGCAGGGAGCACAACAUCAGCUGCAGAUCUCUUUGCGGCCACAUCAAAAACAACCAAGCAAUCACCAAGGCUGAUACUACCAACCUGAGAUGAACUGGCCGCGGAGGAGAGGCGGGGAUCCCGAAUACUCAGGUGAAGUCUGCUCCAAUCCAAGCCGGCGCAGCCACAGCGCAGCCGCCCUGCGCUUUGACCUAUUUGCAAGCACAGCCUAUUAAUAUUUUAAUUAAUUUUUAAUUACCUUUUUUUGGUUAUUUUAGUAGAGGAGUGGCAUCUCCGCUCCGCGUCGCAGCCACAUGCUCUGAUGCCUCCAGAGCACAGUCCACGUUCGCACGGCAGCUCAGCUCUAAGCAGCGCAACGCGUCAUCACGCCGCCCGGUGGGCCCCACAGCCGCCACGGGCCUGGUUGGUGGGCCGUAGCCCACGUGGGCCCACCGGCGGCAAGGUGGGCUUUCUCCUCGUGGCCCAACUGGCGGUGGUGGGCGGCGGAUGGCGGAGGCUGGCGGCGGCGGCGUAACAGAAGGAGAAGGUGGCGGCGGUGGGUGCGGGAGGCGGCGGUGGAACCGGCGGCGCCCCCCAACGGCGGCGCACCCACGGCGGCGUCGGCGGCGCACCCCACGGCGGACCAACGGCAGUUGGCGGCGGCGAUAUGCACGGCGGCGGCGGCGGCGGAAAUCUCGCUGGGGCGGUUAGGAUUCUAACCCUAACCCGCCCCCUCCCCCACCUUUUUGCCUGCCGGCCAAAUUGGGCCGGCCUAGUACUGUUCGGUGGUGGGCUGAAACCUAUAGUUUCGGCCCACCACCCAAUUUACCCUUUUUUUGUUUUAAAUUUUUAUUUUUAGCAGCCAUUACACUUUAGUCCCUAUGUUUUAUGCAAUUUAAUAGAAACAGUUCAUCAGUUGUUCACAUUAUUAUGUAAUGGUCCUAUAGAUCACUGAUGUUAUGUGUUAAUUAACAUAGAUGUUUAUUCAAAUACCCCGUUUCACUAAAUUUAUUUGUUGUCUUAAUAACAUGCCUUUUGCAUAUUAUUUCAAGACACACUCUACUUUCUCGCUUCAUUAAUUUAUAAAAUUCUAUAAAUUUUGUACUUUGAUUUAGCAAAUUCUCUUAAUUAUGUGCAACAUGAUUAAUGGAGGAUUUAAUGCAUGUUCCACUUCACAUUUUGACUCGGAAAUUAAUCACAUGUAGAUGGAGUCCUAUACUUUGGUCAUCACGACCAUAAUUUAGGCAGCGAGUAUCUUGCUCAUCAUCAAGUGGUCUACAUUUUGAGAUGAUUACCCGAUGGAGCCCUACAAAUUGGCCGCACUGGUUAUAACCUAGGCAGCGAGCAUCUCGCUCAUCUCACAGAGGUUUACAUCUCAUGAUGAUUACCCACAUGUGUUAUUUUCCGAGCAUAUGUUUUGAAAAAUGAGAUUAUUUGAAAUUUGAUUGAACACAAGGUAGUGGAGUCCUAAACAUUGGCUGCGGUAUAUUCACCAGAAUAUAUUUGCCUGGAGACCAUGUUUUAGGCAGCAAGUAUAACUUGCCCACUAUUAAGAGAUCUACUCCACUGUUUAAUUACUUGGAGAUUAUCCACAUUGUGCCACCUAAUUUCAAAUCCUAACUCAAAUUGUCAGGUCUAUAACCUACAUCUUUUCGAAACAUUACAAGAUAUGAAGUUUUACAUUUCGCAUUGAGAUUACAACCUCAAUAUCAUGUUUUUAUUAAUUUACCUCUGUAAAUUAAUAGUGUUAAUCAUGAUUAUAGGGACACGGCAACUAUAGAGUUCACCGAACUCGCCCUCGAUGGGAGUAACUACCCAAUUUGGGCUUCUGAUAUCAAAAUAAAUUUUUCUUCUAGUGGGAUUUCACAUACAGAUUAAGAACCCAAUGAUUGGGAUCCACCAGUUGAGAACAGAAAACUAUAUAUUACCUUUUUCCUUCUGAGGUUCUAUAUCUAUAAAGAUCUCAAAUAUGAGUACAUGUUGGAGACGAGCCCUCUCAACCUAUGGAAAGCUCUAAUAGAGCGUUAUGAUCAGCAAAAGGAACUCAUUUGGCCAGAGGCUAAUUAUGAGUGGAUUCAUUUACGCCUACAGGAUUUUAAACUGUGGCCGAAUACAAUCAUGUUGUACAUAACAUUUGCUCCAAGUUGAUAUUUUGCGAUAAGAGCCAACGGAAGCAGAGAAGAUAGAGAAAACUCUAUCAACUAUGUUUCCAGAGGACAAGAUAUUGAACCAAUAGUAUCGCACUAAAAGGAUUUAAGGGAAAUUCCUCGAAUACCCCUACGAAUCUGACUGGAAAACGCAAACGCAACAACAGGCGCAAAUCCAAUGGUCGACAGAAAGGAAAUAGGAAGGGUAAGGCACCACAACCUCGUGGCAAUAGCAACAUGCAUUGCAACAGGUGUGUAUCUGACUAUCAUGUCACUAAAGAUUGCCGCAUCUCAAAAACAUCUUGUUCUCCUGUAUCAGAAAUCCCUAAAGGAGAAAAAGUCUUCUGAGGAACUAAGAUUUGAAGCUCACUUCAAUCUUACAAAAGAAAGACCUGAGGUUGAAAGUUCUCACUAGGCUCCUAUUGAACCAGAGAACACCCUCGUUCUUCUCCCAGAGGAUACCACUGCGCUUUCUGCAAUAGAUGAUAUGCUCAUCGAAUACUGCUCAACGGACCCACUUAGAGAUUUAUUGUAAUCUCAGUGCGUCCCACUUAGAGAUAAAGCUGCUUUAAUCUCAGUGUGUUUAAGACAUUAUAUUGAUAUCCUAUAGUUUGUCAAAACAAUAUUGGUUGUAAUAAGUAGAUAAGUACAAACUCCCUUAUAUUAUAAAGUUGUAAGACUUGAUAGUCAUUAGAGUAUGUACUAUUAACCUAUGUAAACGUCAUACUAUGUAUCUGAUGUUUUCAUUAUUGUAUGUAUGUAUAUAUUGUGGAUAAAGAAUUCUUCACUAAGCAAUUCUUCUUUCACUAUAGAUGUCUAAGGAUAUCGCUCUGAAAUUGUCCUUCUCUCAUCCAUUGUAGCAAUCUAUAUCAAGAAAAUCCUCUAGGCACUACUUAUAGAACAAUAUAUUUCAAAAGGGAGAGCUUAUAAAUGACUAAAUGAACACUAUCACCACCAAGGUCGUGUCCAUAAAAGAUAUAAUGCCCCGAUCUUCAGUGGUUCAGAAACCAGGGUACAGAAAAAAAUCAUUAUAACAGCAUGCAGGCACUGCUCUUAUUUGAACUCAACGGGACAGUUGGAGCAAAGCUUUCCGGUGCACUAGCACAUAAUUUGGCUUUUUCAAGGACAAAUAUCUUCUAGUGUUACCUGUUGAAAACAAAACAGAAAAUGAACAAACCGAAUCAGGGCAAACAUAUAACGCAAAUGUAGAUCCAAUCGUCCAAAGGUAACCUAAAUUGAAAACAAUAAUUCACUGUAAAUGCGCAUUCACAUUUCUUUUUUUAUAUAUGCAAGGAGCGUAUCUUUAUAUUAAGGAGUAAUAAAAGUUAUUUACAGGCACAUUCCCAAAUUUAGGAUAGCAUUACGAAUUUAGUAAAAAAAAUUCAGGAUUCCCCAUUUCACUAUACUUUGAAUACCCACCAAGCAUUCCUGGUAAGAAACAUAAAAUCACACCAAACAAAACAUACUCCAAAAUGACAAGGACUACGAAACUAAGCAGUGAUUCAUCCCAAGAAGGUCGAUCACACGACGAUUGAUCUGGUGUUCUAGGAAUCUAGGCUACUCCUAUAAAGGAAUCAACAAAGAAAAACCUGCAGAAUCCAUUCAUUUAUCAAUCCCUGGUAGAACCCGUCAUACUAGGGCGAACACCCAGCUCCCCAAACCCUACCUCACCGUGACACAGAGCUACAAAUCCAGCCAUAAACCAAUCAAACAAGCAAACAAUUUACCCCUAUUAGGCCUUAACCGCAGAGAUCAUAGCCAUGAUUAACCUAACCAAACCAAUAAACCGCAUAAGCACCGCAUCAGCAGCGGAUCUCUUUGCGGCCACAUGAAAAACAACCAAGCAAUCACCAAGGCUAAUACUACCAACCUGAUCGAGAUGAACUGGCCGCGGAGGAGAGGCGGGGAUCCCGAAUACUCAGGUGAAGUCUGCUCCAAUCCAAGCCGGCGUAGCCACAGCGCAGCCGCCCUGGGCUUUGACCUCUUUGCAAGCACAGUUCUAUUAGUAUUUUAAUUAUUUUUUAAUUACCUUUUUUGGGUUAUUUUAGUAGAGGAGUGGCAUCUCCGCUCCGCGUCGCAGCCACAUUCUCUGAUGCCUCCAGAGCACAGUCCACGUUCGCAUGGCAGCUCAGCUCACAGCAGCGCAACGCGUCGUGCCGCCCGGUGGGCCCCACCGCCGCCACGGGCCUGGUUGGUGGGCCGUAGCCCACGUGAGGCCCACCGGCGGCAAGGUGGGCUUUCUCCUCGUGGCACAAAAGUCAGUGUGUGGCCGUGGCGAGGCCGGCGGAGGCAGCGGCGGCGGAGGAGGAGGUCGUCGUCGCCGGCAGCUCAGCUCAGCUCACAGCAGCGCAACGUGUCAUGCCGCCCGGUGGGCCCCGCCCCCGCCACGAGCCUGGUGGGUGGGCCGUAGCCCACGUGGGCCCAAUUGACAAGGUGGGCUUUCUCCUCGUGGCCCACAAGUCGGUGUGCAGCGGCGGCGAGGCUGGCGGCGGCGGAGGAGGAGGUCGUCGCCGGCGGCCGCGCGGUGACGGGUGCAGUGAAGUUCGGCGCGAAACCUCAAGAGCACCGCAUUUUCUACGCUUUUUCUUUGUUUUUUUUUUUGGCUCGAGUGCGCCUUCGCCGAACAGAUAAAGGCCACGUCUUUUCUUUUGCUUUCUCCUCUCCAAGCGAAGCCACUGCUUCUACUGCGUCGACUUGGAAUUUUGCCGAAUCUUUUUUUCCUAUGCAUUUGGCAAGACCAAGAAAACAAAAAGAAAAGAGAUUAUUAAUCAUGGCGACACGAAUGGAAAUGGUUAAUAAUCGCAUUGAAAUCUAAAUCCGAUCCUACUAAAGAAUUAAUUAAAAAAUAGGAGUACUAAUAAUGGGCAUAGAUAGAGGGAGACCUCACUCUCAGCAUAAAAAAAUUCCAUCUUUGCAGGCAGACGCAGGUGCACUUGCUUCAGUCACCACCUCCUCUUCUCCUUUGCCGACUCCUGAGCCAUCAGUGUGGCCUAACUCGUGUGACUUUCAAAGUAAGAGUAUCUACGACUUCGAUUCUUUUAUUGCCUUUCUGAUUAAUGAAUAGUGGUAAACGAAGCAAUAGGAUUUGACUCCUGGAGAAGGAGAAGCUAAGAUAGCACUGAGCUCUUUCUAGAUACACAUCCUUCUCCGCGGCCAUUUCUUGGAGCAAAUCUCAUUUUGCACAGCCCCAAAGAUUUCUUCAUCUUUGAAGGCAAAAAAAAAGAUGGUCCUUUUUCGAGGGAAAUAGGGGGGAAGAUGGCUAUGAAGAGAGUGGUGUUUCUGUUGCUGCUUGUGGCGGCAUCUGCAUUGGUGAAGUCGUCAAGAGGAGGAGGAGGAGGGGAGGAGAAGUUGGGGAAGUUCUAUGGAUGGCGGCGCCAUCUUUCUUCUGGACCAGCUGCCUCUUCGUUGGUUCUCAGUGGGGAUCUCGUAAGGCGUCCAUAAACCUUCUCCUUUGCAUGCUAGAUAGAAGUAAUCGAUUCAAUAGCUCUAGUUUACUUUGCUUGAUUUGGACUUGUUAUCUGCCAAGAACUUCGAAUAUGACUUCCAUUUUGUCUUCUUGAAAGUGAGGCAUUCAGGCCUUUUUUGUUAUUUACCGUUGUUAUGUUUAGUAUAUUUCGUUAUAACAGAAAUAUGACUGAUUGUUUCUUGAUCUUUAUUGUGCUCACUUUAGUCAAUCAGGAUGAGCAGUAAAUUUUACUUAGUUCAUAUAUAUUAUAUGAGAACAAUUUAACAGAUAGCUUGAUGCAUUAACAAAUAAUCCUUACUGUGAUGCAGGUAGACAAAAUAUGGUCAGUUUGCUUACAAGACAUAGUUAGCCCAGAGGAUACAUUUGGCUUUGGGGAAUCAUUUGCCUGGGAUGAGUUAUCGAGUCAUUCCACGGAAGAUGAACUGAAGGCAACACUGUUCAUGGAACUUAUGGCUCUUCUUCCACCUGAGAAAUCUUCUUUUACUUAUGAUUGUAUCCGUGCAAACUGCUUCAGCCUGGGUGUUCCACAAAUAUUCAGUGUUGCACUGAGCAACUAUCUUGAGAGCCAGAAAUCAUUGGUCGGUUCAAACUUCUAUCCGAGACGGCGUUUGGUAGAUAAACUGAUCGGAGAUGCUCCUUCCAUGGCUCCAGCUUUCGCACCAUCCAUGUCCUCUGGCGGUGAAGUUCACUCUCCCCUCUCUGUGGCGGAGGCACCACUUACACCUUCCAACUCUCUGAACAUGGAACCUCCCAGCCCAUAUUAUCCCAGUAAAUCUGCACACAAGCAUCAGGGAGUGGCACCUCCAGUUUCACCUUCAGAGGAGUAUCAUGACUACAUGAAAGUAGUCUUGAUCGCUGUUCUUCCAACAGCCGCACUCUCAUUCCUAGCUGCAUUUCUAUGUUUCUACUGCUGUGGAUGCAACAAAAGCAAGGUCUCGGUUGGCGAGCAACGAGAUGACCAUCCUCUUCUUCACUUGCAGUUCUCUAACUUGCCUGGUGAGGAUACAUCCCUUCUAUCAACAUGGUAGAUUAUUAUUGGUAUGGUAGUAUAUCAUCUAUCAUUUGAAUGGCAGGUUCGUCACCUGAUGUGCAUGUUCCUGCCAGCCCGCUUCAUAAGGAUGAUCAUGGGGUUAGGCCAUCCAAUGCUGGUGUAAGCAUGAGCAAGUGCUUUCCAUGUUGUUUUAAAACCUCAAGUGAUGCCACAACACCUACACUAGUAACUGGAGGAACACAGGAGAACAAUGCCACAAGUGAUGCCCCUAAACUGAUGCCUCCGCCACCCCCACCUCCUCCACCUCCACCUCCACCUCCCCCUCCACCUCCUCCGCGUCCACCUCCUCCGCCUCCACCUAUCAAGAAGGGUGCUCCACCACCUGCACCUCCUAAAGCCACCAUGGCAAGAUUUCCUAAGCUGUCACCUACAGAGUCAAGUCGUUCUGAAGAGUCAUCUGCAAGCGAGCUGGCCAGUGAAUCGUCUGAAACUGAGGUGAAUGCUCCAAGAGCCAAGCUCCGGCCUUUCUAUUGGGAUAAAGUUCUUGCUAAUCCUGAUCAGUCAAUGGCCUGGCAUGACAUCAAAUUUGGUUCUUUUCAGUAAGUUUUUAAAUUUAGCAAUGGCAUGUAUUCUAAGUUCAUUUAGGCUUGCAACUGACGACUGCAUUCUGCAGUGUGAACGAGGAGAUGAUAGAAGAAUUGUUUGGUUAUGGUGCUGGCAACCAAAACAAUGUCAAGGACAAGGAAAUUUCCAUUGCAGAUCCUUCACCUCAGCAUGUUUCUCUUCUUGAUGUUAAGAAAUCAUGCAAUCUGGCAGUUGUUUUUAAGGCAAUGAAUGUGAGGGCAGAGGAAAUUCAUGAUGCUCUGGUUGAAGGUAGUUGAACUAUUGCAUAUAUUUACAUGCAGCCUACUUACCCAUUUGCCAAAAAAAAAAAAAGCUCCUAAAGUUUCCAUUAUCGCUGUAAAUACAAUAUGUUUGCACCGCCAAAGAUAACAUUGCACUUAUAAAUGAGCCUUUUGAAAAAAUGGAAUGCUCGUUGCAUUCUAUUUAACUGAUACAAGAAUUCGACUGCAACUAUAGCAAGUUUACUUAUUAAACUAUAUACUGUGCAUUUCUAAGCACAUGUAUUUGUGGCCAUCCUCUUUUAGUUUCUUGUCUGUCUUUGUGAUUGUGGCCCAUCUCAUUUCAUAUCAGGCAAUCACAGUGAAAACAUGUUUCAUAUUGUGUAUGCAUUGGUCAUUUACUAUAUCAUAUGUUCUCUUGUUCACUAGAUGUAGCUGUUGAGGUCUAAGUAGUACACACAAAGUUGAUGCUGUGCUGGUUCACUUCAAUAUACUUCUGACAUUGUCUUCUGUCACAUUAUGUUAUGAAGGGAAUGAACUUCCUAGAUUACUUCUUGAGACAAUCUUGAGGAUGAAACCGACUGAUGAGGAGGAACAGAAACUCAGGCUUUAUAAUGGGGACUGCUCGCAGCUAGGCCUAGCAGAACAAGUGAUGAAGGCACUAAUUGAUAUUCCUUUUGCUUUCGAGAGGAUUAGAGCUUUGCUUUUCAUGUCCUCUUUGCAGGAAGAUGCUUCAAGUCUAAGGGAAUCAUUCCUCCAAUUGGAGGUAAUCCAUCUGAAAGUAGUUGACUUCUGUAUUAAAUCUGCGAAGUAUUCCAACCUUUUUUCUCCAAGUGUUCAGUUUUUUAUCUGUUUGUGCCAGGCUGCUUGCGGUGAACUCAAGCACCGCCUUUUUCUGAAACUACUAGAAGCCAUUCUCAAAACUGGAAAUCGUUUGAAUGAUGGGACGUUCCGUGGUGGUGCUAACGCGUUCAAACUUGACACUCUUCUUAAGUUAUCAGAUGUCAAGGGAGCUGAUGGGAAGACCACAUUGCUGCACUUUGUUGUUCAAGAGAUCAUUCGAUCUGAAGGUGUUCGCGAAGCAAGACUCGCCAUGGAAAAUGGAAGAAGUCCACCAUUUCCUAGUACUUCGGAUGACAAUUCCAAUGAAUCUCUACAGGAGGAUGGCAAUUACUACUCCAACCUUGGCCUUAAGAUUGUAUCAGGGCUUAGUAAUGAGCUGGACAAUGUCAAGAGAGUAGCAGCACUGGAUGCUGAUGCUUUGUCUACAAGUGUGGCAAAUCUGCGACACGAAUUAUUGAGAGCCAAAGAAUUCCUGAACUCCGACAUGGCAUCGCUAGAAGAGAACAGUGGAUUCCACCGCUCGUUAGAAAGUUUCAUAGAACAUGCAGAGACUGAGACCAAUUUUCUCCUGAAAGAAGACAAGAGAUUGAGGAUGUUAGUGAAGAGAACGAUUCGAUAUUUCCAUGGAAAUGAUGAGAAAGAUGACGGUUUUCGCCUGUUCGUCAUUGUAAGAGAUUUUCUGGUGAUGCUAGAUAAGGCAUGCAAGGAGGUUGGUGCUUCACAAAAGAAGGCAACAAAUAAAUCUCAAGCCAAUGGCAACUCUAAUAACCCAUCAUCCCAGUCAAAUCCUCAGGAGCAACAGUUUCCUGCUGUUUUGGAUCAUCAUUUUGAUAGCUCAGACUCUAAUGAUUGAAGAUAGAUACAAUCUUAGAUACUAAGAUACAUACAUUAUGUUAGAUAUUUUAUAUUUUUUCGCCCGAGACCAUGUAAAAAGUCCCAUUUGCAGAGGCAUUGUUCAUACAUAAUCACAUUCACAUAGAUAGAUUUGAAACUUCAUACAUGCUAUUAUGCUAUAACAUUCAGUAUCAAAUCUGAAGUUCUGAACUCAGCCUAUCGUUAGAUUCUAUUUUCUUUGGUAAGAGUAUUCAUAUCCCGACCCCUCCCCACAUGUGUCAUUUCCCAGAUAUUUUUAUUUUAUUUUUAAAGUCAAACCUUUUCUUUUCAUUUUUUGAAAGCCAAAACAUUUUCAACCGUGUGAUGGAAACCAAAACCUUCAGCACCCUAAAGACGAAAAAAUAAUUAGUAGGAUAUGGUAUAUUUCAGAAAACUGGAUCUAUUUUAUCAAUCUAUCACUUUGCUACAAUGUUAUCCACGUAUUUUAAAGAAUUGCAAUAUUAGUGUAUGGUUUUAUCAAAAAGAAAGAUACAACUUAAUUUGUGUGACAAGUUUAAGUCCACAUACACUGUCCAUUAUAAAUUGGGUAUAUGUCAUACUAGAAAUGUGGUCCCGUGACCAUGGUAGGUUUUUACUCUUUUAGUAGCUUUAUAUAGUCCAGUUCUUAUAAUCAUGUGUAUAGUGUUGGGCAAAACUAUAUCCCAUCAGGUAGAUGAGUUUGGGUCCAUUCUAUGAGCACCCGUCCCGUCUACCAUGGGUAAAAAACACUCGUAGAUCUAGCGAAAAAAAAUUACAGUGGCCUAAGACCAAAUCUUAGUAUGAAAUCAUCUCACCUAACCACCUAUCAAUCCUACCAAUAUUCUCCAUUGCCACACAAACCGCAAGUAAAAGGCAGUGCUCGUGGUGGCGGCUAGAACCACUCAUGACUCAUUAUGCUCGUGAGUUGCUAUGCGACCAAGACAAGACAAGGGAGGUAGCGGGGCUCAUGCGGUUAUAGGGGGUAGGGAAAACGGGAUUGAGGAGUCACACUCUCAUCACAUCUCUAGUCUCCUUCACAUCAGUCUCUUACCAUUUCCCAUUCCAAUCGGUGGUGGAUCCAGGUACGGAGGAAAUCUUGUACCCAUGACAAUUGUGGGUGUUAGAGCAAAAUGUUUUGACUUGCAUAGGUGUGUGCGGGGUAUUAGAACUGGCGGGUGUAUUUGCUAUAUUUAGUCUUACACACAUAGGGGAUAAAUUAGUAGUUAUAUGAUAAAUUCCGUUGCUAAAGUUACAAUUUUAUGAAAAAUAGCCAGCUAAAGUUAUACAAAGUGAUGGUGUUUGCCAAAGGGAGUAUCUAAAGAAUUGCCACAAAUUUUUUGAGUCAAAAACUUUCAGAUAUAACAACUUAUAUAAAACUUGCAUUCAACUAUGGUUUAGUUAGCUAAUAUUGGGAUCUUACGUGUGAUAUGUGUGAAAUUUUUUUUCCUUCAUGCACAAAUCGUAGGACGAUCCGAUGGUCACAAAUUUGGAAGUUUUGGGAGUAGUUAUUUUAGCAAAUCCGUUACCAAAUAAGGCUGUGUUCGGAGGAGGGGGUUGGGAACCCCUCCUCCUCGGCACGCAAAACAAAGUUCAUUUUAUUGCAUGAUCAAUUAAGUAUUAACUAUUUUUUUAAAUAGAUUAAUAUGAUUUUUUUAAACAACUUUCAUACAUAAAGUUUUUAUAUAAACCACACCGUUUAGCAGUUUGAAAAGCAUACGUACGGAAAACAAGAGAGGUGGGUUGGGAAAAUGGGGGAAGAACACAGCCUAAGCAGUUUUGUGAAAUUUUCUCGAUAAUAGGAUAAGAUCUUCUAGGAUGCACAAUCCUACCCGUCCAUUUCCGAUCGGACGGCACCGGUGACACCCAAGAGCAACCCAGGCCGCCUCCUCUCCCCCAAAACGCGCACUCGUGUGCUUUCGCCUUCCAUUCUCCAAACCCUCGCGGGAGAUCGGAAUUCCCCACCCCGGAGCGCCGGAUCCACCACCGAUCGUC